This 29-nucleotide non-coding RNA is filed under the name Homo sapiens (human). The record is from RNAcentral. Lineage: Eukaryota; Metazoa; Chordata; Mammalia; Primates; Hominidae.
UGCUACAUGUACAGGGUUUUAUCCUAGUG